This 449-nucleotide ribosomal RNA is filed under the name uncultured bacterium. RNAcentral describes it as "partial 16S ribosomal RNA". It matches the Rfam family "Bacterial small subunit ribosomal RNA", at positions 29 to 523 of the family's 1533-position model. The record is from RNAcentral.
AACGAACGCUGGCGGCAUGCCUAACACAUGCAAGUCGAACGAAGUCUUCGGACUUAGUGGCGCACGGGUGCGUAACGCGUGGGAAUCUGCCCUUGGGUACGGAAUAACAGUGAGAAAUUACUGCUAAUACCGUAUGAUGUCGUAAGACCAAAGAUUUAUCGCCCAAGGAUGAGCCCGCGUAGGAUUAGCUAGUUGGUGAGGUAAAGGCUCACCAAGGCGACGAUCCUUAGCUGGUCUGAGAGGAUGAUCAGCCACACUGGGACUGAGACACGGCCCAGACUCCUACGGGAGGCAGCAGUGGGGAAUAUUGGACAAUGGGCGAAAGCCUGAUCCAGCAAUGCCGCGUGAGUGAUGAAGGCCCUAGGGUUGUAAAGCUCUUUUACCCGGGAAGAUAAUGACUGUACCGGGAGAAUAAGCCCCGGCUAACUCCGUGCCAGCCGCCGCAGUAA